This is a non-coding RNA of Manis javanica (Malayan pangolin), 2631 nucleotides long. NCBI's taxonomy places the organism in Eukaryota, Metazoa, Chordata, Mammalia, Pholidota, Manidae. The record is from RefSeq and is a predicted model, not a curated record.
UAGUUUCAUAGAUAAAUGUGGUUUUGGGAGAUUUCUGCUGCUCUACUCAUGCCGCCAUCUUGGCUCCGCCUUCUUGUGAGGUGGUGGGUCUGUGAGCUGGCCAGCCUUUUCUUUCACUGAGCACCAGCGGGUCUUUUGGAGAUAGCAUCUGGGGCAGAACUGAACCCAACAGUUGGGCCCUCCAGAACCUUGGCAGUAGGCAGCAGGAAAACUUUGGCUGUCUUUUUAGUCUCUUCCCCAGGCUUCUCAUGAGGAAUGUCCAGUAUCCCUUUCAAGGUCCCGGCUAUGGAUUGCACAACUCCGGUAGCCAGGCGGAGUCUGGACGUAGGCGGAGCCGCGGCAGGGGCGAGAAUGCCCCGCUGCAGACGCCACAGGAAGCCCCGAGUUUCCGAGUAGCCCAUCAGCAGAAUUUUUAACUGGGUUGCUUGUUUUCUUAUUGUUGAAUUUUACGGCUCUUUGUAUACUUUGUAUAAUAGUCCUUUUUCCGAUUUAUCUUUCAUAAAUAUUUUCUCCUAGUCUGUCGUUUGUCUUCUCAUUCUCUUCAGUGUCUCUUGCAGAGCAGAAGUCUUUUAUUUUAAUGAAGCCCAGCUUACCAAUUAUUUCUUUCAUGACCAUGCCUUUGGUGUUGGAUCUUAAAAGUCAUCACCAUACCCAAGGUCACCUUGAGUUUCUCCUAUGUUAUCUUCUAAAAGUUUUGUAAUUUUGCGUUUUACAUUUAGAUCUUUAAUCCAUUUUUAUUUAAUUCUUAUGAAGCACGUAAAGUAUGUAUCUAGGUUUAUUUUUUUUGUAUGUGGAUGUCCAGGUGUUCCAGCACCAUUUAUUGAAAAGACUCAUCUUAACUCCAUUGUAUAACCUUUGCUCCUUUAUCAAAGAUCAGUCAACUGUAUUUAUGUGAGCCUGUUUUAGGGCUCUGUAUUCUGUUCUACUUAGGUAUUUGCCUGUUCUUUCACCAAUACCACAUGGUCUUGAUUACUGUAGCUUUAUAGUGAGCCUUGAAGUUGGGUAGUGUUAGUACUCCAACAUUGUUCUUCAAUGUUUUGUUGGCUAAUCUUGGUCUUUUGCCUCUUCAUAUAAACUUUAGAAUUUGUCAAUAUCUACAAAUAACUUGCUGGGAUUUUGAUUGGUAAGGCUUUGAAUCUAUAAAUCAAGUUGAGAAUGACAUAUUAGGAUAUAGUUUUAAGAUUCCAUCUAUCUGGCAAGUUUGUUCAUAGAAUGGUACAGAAUUAAAAGGAUGCCCAUAAUCUCUGUUCUUAUGUGGAAAAUCAAGUUUAUCCAAGUGGAUGGAGAAACAGUCAGAAUAAUGACAACUACCCUCUGGCCAUCAAAUAAAAUGAUCCAAAUGUAGAGCUGAUUUGUUUUAAUUGUUUGAAGAGGUCCUGUUUUCUUCAUUUCUGCUUUCAGGCUAAGGAAAAAGCCUUUUUGACUCAUUAUCAUGUCAUAUAUCUCGUUUUCCAUUGAUACUCUUUGGGCAUCAUUGGAAACAAGGUGAGUCAGAUACUCUCCUGGCCCUGUAAAAAUCUACAAUCUAGGAGGGGAAAUAAUGGUAUAAACACACCUGUAGUAAAAGUUUUCCUCUAUCAUCAGGCCCUCGACUUAGGUCUAGUACUAGUGGCACCAGCUCCCUCUCCCGCUACCCCAACCACAGACUGAAUCUUCCUGAUGGCCUUACAAUCAAUUUCAAAGGGGCCAUACUGAAGGAUGAAUACAAGGUGCUCAUCUCUGGUGUGCCUUCACUGGAACUUAACUCAGGAUGGAAAAGCAGCAGGUAUUGCUUGAAAAUAUGUUUCUUCCUGUUCUGCCUCUACCCAUAUUUACAAGGAUUUCUCACACAGUUCACUGAGGCAGUGAGACAGACAUCCUCAUCUCCUGAACAGAGGAGAACUGUUAAAAAAACAAAAAACUCAACCUAUUAAAAAUAUUCAGUCAUUAUUUAUGAUGUUUGCUGUCUUUUUUAUUAUAGAAACUCAACAGGUAAGGACAUCCCGUUCUGUUCCUAAUUUGUUUGUUUUUUGCUUUUUAUCAUGAAAAGGUAUUGAAUUUUACUACUUUUCUGUAUCUUGCCACAUACACUUAUUCUCUUUUAAAAACUACUCCUGCAUUUCUGAAGCCCUGCUUGAUCAUGCUGUGUAAUUCCUUCAUUUAUAUGUUUAAUUCGAUCCACUGAAAUUAUGCUUAGGAUCUUUGCAUGAAUAAAAUUGACUUGUAAUUCUUCUUUCCAAGAUAGCCAGAAAGCAAAUCACUUAAUUUCUCAUCCACCUACCUAAUUCCACAUCCCGAGACAACAGCAGAGAUGAAAAAAAAAUAACAGAAGCCAGAACAUUCCAAUUUGGACAAAACAGGAACUGUACACAGGUAAGUAUAGAAAGGCAAAAAAUCACUUACUGAAAUGAACAAAUCUCAGUCCACUCCAUUCUUACCAAAAACAAUCUCAGCCUUACCGAGGAUUCUAACAGCAGAAGUCUUCUCUGGUGCUGCAUCUUGAAAACAACUGCAUUCAUGCCAGGUCUCAGGGCGUUUACAGGGAACCCAUUCUAAUAAGCCUUCUAACUACUCUGUUCUCACCGCAACUGAAGUUACCAAGUCCCUCUGCAAACACUCCAAGUUCUCAGUGACCCACAGGAAAGCAGGCAA